UCUCCGUAGGUGAACCUGCGGAGGGAUCAUUACAGAGAUCAUGCCCCUCGCGGGUAGACCUCCCACCCUGUGUUAUUUACGAUUGUUGCUUUGGCAGGUCGCCUUCGGGCACUCGGCUCCGGCUGAGGUGCGCCUGCCAGAGGACCCCAACUCUGUGUUUAGUGUCGUCUGAGUACUAUUUUAAUACGUUAAAACUUUCAACAACGGAUCUCUUGGUUCUGGCAUCGAUGAAGAACGCAGC
This 241-nucleotide unclassified non-coding RNA is filed under the name uncultured fungus. RNAcentral describes it as "sequence contains ITS1, 5.8S rRNA gene". The stretch from base 193 to 241 matches the Rfam family "5.8S ribosomal RNA", at positions 1 to 49 of the family's 154-position model. The record is from RNAcentral. Lineage: Eukaryota; Fungi.